RNAcentral lists this long non-coding RNA (1198 nucleotides) under Homo sapiens (human). Its description in RNAcentral is "HSALNT0376978". The record is from RNAcentral. Lineage: Eukaryota; Metazoa; Chordata; Mammalia; Primates; Hominidae.
AUAUAACCCAUCACUUCAACUGGAAAGCAAAUGUAUCCUACUAUUAGAGUUUAUCUCGAAAUGCUUUGGGAAAUCUCAGGGGGCUGGAGGAACCCUCAGCUCAAGCCAUUUGUGGGAUGUGUUGGUCCGGCAUAGACUCCAGCCAAAAGACCAAAUAUUGCCUUUUGUUGUUUCCUGGAGGGAAGGAUAUGGACAACAAUGAUCUGGCCGUGGGGAAGAUUCAAGGGAAUAAAAAUGAAUCAUCACCAGCCACCAGGAAGCACCAGGAGCUCUCUAAAUGGAAUGGAGGCCUCCCAUACCUUGGGCAUUGAUAAACCUUGGCUGUUGCUUCAAAUAUAAAUGAUUCUAGAACAUCAGAAUAACUAGUAACAGUAAGAUUACUCAAAUAAGCAAAUAAAAUCAAAGAAGCUCCUGGUUCCUGGCACACAGCUCCUAACACCAUUGGAAUCUCUGGAGUGAAAAGAGUGUCUUUUGUAAGUGAAUGAGAUGACUGAAGGUCGGGGGCCUGUAGAUAGCCCCUUCUCCUAUACCUCGACCUAUACAUCUCUUCCAUGUUUCUUUCAUCUGUAUGCUUUGUAACAUUCUUUAUAAUAAACAAGUAAGUGUAAGUGCUUCCUGAGUUCUGUGAGCUGCUCUAGCAAAUCAGUUGAACCUGAAGAAGGGGUCUUGGGAACCCCUGAUUUACGGCUGGUCGGUCAGAAGCACAGGUAAAACAACUGGGGGCUUGCAGCUGGCAUCUGAGGUGAGGGGAAGCCUUGUGGAACUUAGCGCUUGGCAUGUGGGAUCUGAUACUCUCUCUAGGUAGAUAGCAUCAGAGUGGAACUGAGAGAGGACACCCCGCUGCUGUCUGCUGGAGAACUGAUUGGUGUGUGGAAUCUGGUUUUAGAAGUAUUAUAUUGAGUGGUAUGUGAAAGUAGGAAACACACUUCAUUUUUUUUCCAUCUUUAUAAUAUUUACAUAGUUUUCCGGCACUUCUGGGUAUAGCUAUUUCUAGCUAUUUGAAUGUAGGAAAUGCUUCCAAGAAUGCCUCUCACUUUUUAAAAAAAUUGAGAGAUAACUCACAUACCAUAAAAUUGACCUUUAAAGUAUACAGUCCAGUGGUUUUAGUAUAUUCACAAGAUUGUGCAACUAUCACAACUAAUUCUAGAACAUUGUCAUUACCCCCUACAAAGAAUUCCAUUAGUAGUCACUGCCCAUU